UACAGAGGGUGCAAGCGUUGUUCGGAAUUAUUGGGCGUAAAGGGAGUGUAGGCGGUUCGUUAAGUCUUCUGUGAAAUCUACGGGCUUAGCCUGUAACGUGCAGAGGAAACUAGCGGACUUGAGUAUCGGAGAGGAUAGGGGAAUACCCAGUGUAGAGGUGAAAUUCGUAGAGAUUGGGUGGAACACCAGUGGCGAAGGCGCCUAUCUGGCUGACAACUGACGCUGAGACUCGAAAGCAUGGGGAGCAAACAGG
RNAcentral lists this ribosomal RNA (253 nucleotides) under uncultured bacterium. RNAcentral describes it as "partial 16S ribosomal RNA". It matches the Rfam family "Bacterial small subunit ribosomal RNA", at positions 524 to 776 of the family's 1533-position model. The record is from RNAcentral.